UGAACGCAUGCGCGAGGAGGCUCGCGCGUUUAGUUCAGUUUAAAUAAGAAAACCGUUAUUUUUUACACUUAUUCACUGAGGAUUUCAAGUGACUUUUUGUGCACCCCUGAGUCCAGCUCACUCAGCCACCUUGUGUUAUUUGUCCUACACUGAUCUUGCACUGUUCUGGAAACUGCUGUUCGUGAUGCCACUCCUGCUGCCUGAGUGAAUCAAUAAACCAUUUUAACCAGAAUUACAGACCAGUGUCAGGAGGCAGGAGAUCAGCAGUCAAUUAUGGCAGGACAAAACAUUUUUAUAAUAAAUAAAAAUACUUGAAAUAAAAUAUUGAAAAAUGUG
Trichomycterus rosablanca is the source of this 336-nucleotide long non-coding RNA. RefSeq lists it as uncharacterized. Lineage: Eukaryota; Metazoa; Chordata; Actinopteri; Siluriformes; Trichomycteridae. The transcript has 4 exons. The record is from RefSeq and is a predicted model, not a curated record.